RNAcentral lists this ribosomal RNA (497 nucleotides) under uncultured bacterium. RNAcentral's name for it is "partial 16S ribosomal RNA". It matches the Rfam family "Bacterial small subunit ribosomal RNA", at positions 28 to 507 of the family's 1533-position model. The record is from RNAcentral.
GAUGAACGCUGGCGGCGUGCCUAAUACAUGCAAGUCGAGCGAACGGACGAGAAGCUUGCUUCUCUGAUGUUAGCGGCGGGCGGGUGAGUAACACGUGGAUAACCUACCUAUAAGACUGGGAUAACUUCGGGAAACCGGAGCUAAUACAGGAUAAUAUUUUGAACCGCAUGGUUCAACAGUGAAAGAGGGUCUUGCUGUCACUUAUAGAUGGAUCCGCGCUGCAUUAGCUAGUUGGUACGGUAACGGCUUACCAAGGCAACGAUGCAUAGCCGACCUGAGAGGGUGAUCAGCCACACUGGAACUGAGACACGGUCCAGACUCCUACGGGAGGCAGCAGUAGGGAAUCUUCCGCAAUGGGCGAAAGCCUGACGGAGCAACGCCGCGUGAGUGAUAAAGGUCUUCGGAUCGUAAAACUCUGUUAUUAGGGAAGAACAUAUGUGUAAGUAACUGUGCACAUCUUGACGGUACCUAAUCAGAAAGCCACGGCUAACUACGUG